This 347-nucleotide ribosomal RNA is filed under the name uncultured bacterium. Its description in RNAcentral is "partial 16S ribosomal RNA". It matches the Rfam family "Bacterial small subunit ribosomal RNA", at positions 338 to 699 of the family's 1533-position model. The record is from RNAcentral.
CCUACGGGCGGCAGCAGUGGGGAAUAUUGGGCAAUGGAGGAAACUCUGACCCAGCAAAGCCGCGUGAAUGAUGAAGGUCUUCGGAUUGUAAAGUUCUUUUCUAAGGGAGGAAGAAAGUGACGGUACCUUAGGAAUAAGACUCGGCUAAAUACGUGCCAGCAGCCCCGGUAAUACGUAGGAGGCGAGCGUUAUCCGGAAUGACUGGGGUUAAAGGGUGCGUAGGUGGUUUGGCAAGUUAGUAGCGUAACUCCAAGGCUCAACCUUGGCACUACUACUAAAACUGUUGGACUUGAGUGCAGGAGAGGCAGCCGGAAUAAGUAGUGUAGCGGUGGAAUGCGUAGAUAUUA